Phrynosoma platyrhinos (Desert horned lizard) is the source of this 71-nucleotide non-coding RNA. NCBI's taxonomy places the organism in Eukaryota, Metazoa, Chordata, Lepidosauria, Squamata, Phrynosomatidae. The record is from the annotation of a GenBank genome assembly.
GCCAAUGUGGUUUAGUGGUUUGAGUGUUGGAGUGCAACUCUGGAGACCAGAGUUCAAUUCCCUGCUUGACC